Molecule: ribosomal RNA, 301 nt
Filed under: uncultured bacterium
Lineage: Bacteria
Description: partial 16S ribosomal RNA
Rfam family: Bacterial small subunit ribosomal RNA
Source: RNAcentral
CAGUAGCCACGGGAAUACGGAGGGUGCAAGCGUUAUCCGGAUUCACUGGGUUUAAAGGGUGCGUAGGCGGAUCUGUAGGUCAGUGGUGAAAUCUCCAGGCUUAACCUGGAAACUGCCGUUGAUACUAUAGGUCUUGAAUUUUGUGGAGGUUAGCGGAAUAUGUCAUGUAGCGGUGAAAUGCAUAGAUAUGACAUAGAACACCAAUUGCGAAGGCAGCUGGCUACACAACUAUUGACGCUGAGGCACGAAAGCGUGGGGAUCAAACAGGAUUAGAUACCCCAGUAGUCCCUGUCUCUUAUAC